RNAcentral lists this non-coding RNA (90 nucleotides) under Cynara cardunculus (cardoon). Lineage: Eukaryota; Viridiplantae; Streptophyta; Magnoliopsida; Asterales; Asteraceae. RNAcentral also lists the same sequence under 1 other name. The record is from miRBase by way of RNAcentral.
AAGAAUAUGGACGUGUUAUUCAUCAUGAAUAUUGUAACAUAUUCAUCAUGAAUGUGUUAUUUAUGAUGAAUAACACAUCCCAUAUUCAUU